AAAAAAAAAAAAAGAGGAACAGGAACGAACUAAACCCUCUAAAAACGCAAAUAAAAAAGUACAGUUCCAGGAUGUGCUGAAAGAAAUGCACAAGAAGAGAAACAUGGAGAAAAACAAUCAAACAGCAAGCAGAAGCUCUUCUGAAGUUGAGCCCUCGAGCAACAACCUGCAGCAUUCUUCUGAUGACAUCUAUCAAAAUGUCUAAGCUUCAUUCAAGGAAUUGAUGAAUUCAGACCUCCAUCAUCUUGACGGAAAGGAAAUUGUAAAGCCAUUAAACACCAGCUGGAUGAUGCUGUUGAGUCUGAGGAAACAAGCAAGUCUGCAAAGGAUGCAAGUCAUUUGUGCUUCUAAUCUUUUCUCAUGAAAUGAGACAUAAAAACUACAAAACCAGCGUGGACCAGGCGACUAUUUCCUCUCUAAACGUCAAGGCUCUUACACAACCCGCCUCUCACAAAGCAUUCGAAGUUGUGUUGGUCUCCACCGCGCUUCCACAGCUUCCUUGUUGCUCAUAACAACUUUUUCCAAGGAUUUUAUUUUCAGGACUUUCUGCAACACAAAAGGGGGAUAAUUAGACAAUCCACAUUAGAGGAAUUACAUCUGAAUUUCACUUCUACAAAAAGCAAAAUGUUACACCUUUUAUUGCACGAAUCAUUAAUCACGACGAUUACUGGCAGUGAACUGACAUGAAAUGAUAAAGCCAUUUCUCAUUAAAGGGGUCAUGGCACUUUUUUGAUAGCGCUUAAUGUUUGUUACAUUAUUGACCAAGAAUUUCUUUAAAACAUUCUUAAAAUCUAAUCAAAAACAUAAAUGUACCACGGAUAGAUUUUUUUUACCAUUUUUAAUUAGAAACAACACAUUUAUAGAAUCUGAUACCAAAACAUAGAACAAGAUACAGCACAUGUCUGUAUGUCAAAUACAGCUUAUGUUAUCAUAGGAAAAGAGAGGGCCUUGUUUCUCUUUAGAGAAAUCACAGUAAACUUAUUAGAAAUUCACAUUAAGGCAGUGUUUAGCAUUCUGAGCCAGUUGUGAAGCAUAUCCCAUCCCCUAAAUCUCAAUACAUUUUACAUUAUAAUGUCCAUUCAUACACUGGAUUAUAAUCCUUAGAUUAGUUUUCACCAUUUACAGCCUUUAUUCAAAGUCUGCAUAAACUGCCCCGUUUGGGCUUCUCUCUACUGUAAACUAUCAAAUACAGGUGAUGCGAGCCACUUGAAUCAUGUUUUGUUUUUUUAAUCUG
Astatotilapia calliptera (eastern happy) is the source of this 1234-nucleotide long non-coding RNA. The record is from Ensembl. NCBI's taxonomy places the organism in Eukaryota, Metazoa, Chordata, Actinopteri, Cichliformes, Cichlidae.